This 469-nucleotide ribosomal RNA is filed under the name uncultured bacterium. Its description in RNAcentral is "partial 16S ribosomal RNA". It matches the Rfam family "Bacterial small subunit ribosomal RNA", at positions 28 to 507 of the family's 1533-position model. The record is from RNAcentral.
GACGAACGCUGGCGGCGUGCUUAACACAUGCAAGUCGAACGGAAAGGCCCUGCUUGCAGGGUGCUCGAGUGGCGAACGGGUGAGUAACACGUGGGUGAUCUGCCCCUUACUUUGGGAUAAGCCUGGGAAACUGGGUCUAGUACUGGAUAGGACCAUGCUGUAGGUGGUGUGGUGGAAAGAUUAGUUUCGGUAAGGGAUGAGCUCGCGGCCUAUCAGCUUGUUGGUGGGGUAAUGGUCUACCAAGGCGUCGACGGGUAGCCGGCCUGAGAGGGUGGACGGCCACAUUGGGACUGAGAUACGGCCCAGACUCCUACGGGAGGCAGCAGUGGGGAAUAUUGCACAAUGGGCGCAAGCCUGAUGCAGCGACGCCGCGUGGGGGAUGACGGCCUUCGGGUUGUAAACUCCUUUCAGCCAUGACGAAGCCCUUGUGGUGACGGUAGUGGUAGAAGAAGCACCGGCUAACUACGUG